UCAAAAACUAUGACGGAGAAAAGUAAACAAAAAUAUGCUUUCAGAGAGUGGGAGUUGGUGCGAACCCAUAAGCUAAAGUUGUUGAAAAUCACUCCAGAGUUGCAAGCUGAAAUUUAUAUGUAACAAUAUAAAGACUAGGUGACGCCGGUAGACGCCGUUAUAAUUAUAAGAGUAAUAAUUUGGGUGGUACAGCGACAGAUAUUCGCCCCAUGG
Molecule: regulatory RNA element, 213 nt
Organism: Clostridium acetobutylicum ATCC 824
Lineage: Bacteria; Bacillati; Bacillota; Clostridia; Eubacteriales; Clostridiaceae
Rfam family: T-box leader
About the family: Uncharged tRNA acts as the effector for transcription antitermination of genes in the T-box leader family.
Source: Rfam